RNAcentral lists this microRNA precursor (151 nucleotides) under Pelobates cultripes (western spadefoot toad). The record is from RNAcentral. Lineage: Eukaryota; Metazoa; Chordata; Amphibia; Anura; Pelobatidae.
UCUAGAACAGGGCUGUCCAACCUGCGGCCCCCCAGAUGUUGCUGAACUACAACUCCCAUGACUCCCUGACUAUCUUUUUAAUUGAAAUAAUCAUGGGAGUUAUAGUUCAGCAACAUCUGGGGGGCCGCAGGUUGGACAGCCCUGAUUUAGA